This 460-nucleotide ribosomal RNA is filed under the name uncultured bacterium. RNAcentral's name for it is "partial 16S ribosomal RNA". It matches the Rfam family "Bacterial small subunit ribosomal RNA", at positions 338 to 795 of the family's 1533-position model. The record is from RNAcentral.
CCUACGGUUGGCAGCAGUGAGGAAUAUUGGUCAAUGGGCGUAAGCCUGAACCAGCCAAGUCGUGUGAGGGAUGAAGGUUCUAUGGAUCGUAAACCUCUUUUAUCAGGGAAUAAAGUCCGGGACGUGUCCUAUUUUGUAUGUACCUUAUGAAUAAGGAUCGGCUAACUCCGUGCCAGCAGCCGCGGUAAUACGGAGGAACCGAGCGUUAUCCGGAUUUAUUGGGUUUAAAGGGUGCGUAGGCGGCCUUUUAAGUCAGCGGGGAAAGUUUGUGGGUCAACCAUAGAAUUGCCGUUGAAACUGGGGGGCUUGAGUAUGUGAGAGGCAGGCGGAAUGCGUGGUGUAGCGGUGAAAUGCUUAGAUAUCACGCAGAACCCCGAUUGCGAAGGCAGCCUGCCAGGCCAUGACUGACGCUGAUGCACGAAAGCGUGGGGAUCGAACAGGAUUAGAUACCCCUGUAGUC